This 643-nucleotide ribosomal RNA is filed under the name uncultured actinomycete. RNAcentral's name for it is "bacterial SSU rRNA". It matches the Rfam family "Bacterial small subunit ribosomal RNA", at positions 232 to 885 of the family's 1533-position model. Lineage: Bacteria; Bacillati; Actinomycetota; Actinomycetes; Actinomycetales. The record is from RNAcentral.
CGCGGCCUAUCAGCUUGUUGGUGGGGUAACGGCCCACCAAGGCGACGACGGGUAGCUGGCGUGAGAGCGUGGCCAGCCACACUGGGACUGAGACACGGCCCAGACUCCUACGGGAGGCAGCAGUGGGGAAUCUUGGGCAAUGGGCGAAAGCCUGACCCAGCGACGCCGCGUGGGGGAUGAAGGCCCUCGGGUUGUAAACCCCUUUCAGCGGGGACGAAGCGAGAGUGACGGUACCCGCAGAAGAAGCCCCGGCUAACUACGUGCCAGCAGCCACGGUAAGACGUAGGGGGCGAGCGUUGUCCGGAUUUAUUGGGCGUAAAGCGCGCGCAGGCGGCCCGGUAAGUCGGUUGUGAAAACCCGGGGCUCAACCCCGGGCCUGCAUCCGAUACUGUCGGGCUUGAGGCAGGUAGGGGAGAGUGGAAUUCCCGGUGUAGCGGUGAAAUGCGCAGAUAUCGGGAGGAACACCGGUGGCGAAGGCGGCUCUCUGGGCCUGUCCUGACGCUCAGGCGCGAAAGCUGGGGGAGCGAACUGGAUUAGAUACCCAGGUAGUCCCAGCCGUAAACGUUGGGUGCUAGGUGUGGGGGGAUAUCUACCCCCUCCGUGCCGAAGCUAACGCAUUAAGCACCCCGCCUGGGGAGUACGG